RNAcentral lists this ribosomal RNA (690 nucleotides) under uncultured Lachnospiraceae bacterium. RNAcentral describes it as "bacterial SSU rRNA". It matches the Rfam family "Bacterial small subunit ribosomal RNA", at positions 28 to 719 of the family's 1533-position model. Lineage: Bacteria; Bacillati; Bacillota; Clostridia; Lachnospirales; Lachnospiraceae. The record is from RNAcentral.
GAUGAACGCUGGCGGCGUGCUUAACACAUGCAAGUCGAACGGGAAACCUUUUAUUGAAGCUUCGGCAGAUUUAGCUGGUUUCUAGUGGCGGACGGGUGAGUAACGCGUGGGUAACCUGCCCUAUACAGGGGGAUAACAACCAGAAAUGGUUGCUAAUACCGCAUAAGCGCACAGGACCGCAUGGUCUGGUGUGAAAAACUCCGGUGGUAUAGGAUGGACCCGCGUUGGAUUAGCCAGUUGGCAGGGUAACGGCCUACCAAAGCGACGAUCCAUAGCCGGCCUGAGAGGGUGAACGGCCACAUUGGGACUGAGACACGGCCCAGACUCCUACGGGAGGCAGCAGUGGGGAAUAUUGCACAAUGGGGGAAACCCUGAUGCAGCGACGCCGCGUGAAGGAAGAAGUAUCUCGGUAUGUAAACUUCUAUCAGCAGGGAAGAUAGUGACGGUACCUGACUAAGAAGCCCCGGCUAACUACGUGCCAGCAGCCGCGGUAAUACGUAGGGGGCAAGCGUUAUCCGGAUUUACUGGGUGUAAAGGGAGCGUAGACGGAUUAGCAAGUCUGAUGUGAAAGGCAGGGGCUCAACCUCUGGACUGCAUUGGAAACUGCCAGUCUUGAGUGCCGGAGAGGUAAGCGGAAUUCCUAGUGUAGCGGUGAAAUGCGUAGAUAUUAGGAGGAACACCAGUGGCGAA